This 250-nucleotide ribosomal RNA is filed under the name uncultured prokaryote. RNAcentral's name for it is "partial 16S ribosomal RNA". It matches the Rfam family "Bacterial small subunit ribosomal RNA", at positions 524 to 774 of the family's 1533-position model. The record is from RNAcentral.
UACGUAGGGGGCGAGCGUUAUCCGGAUUUAUUGGGCGUAAAGCGUGUGUAGGCGGCUUAUUAAGUUUAAGAUUAAAGUCCGGGGCUUAACUCCGGUUCGUCUUAGAAACUGGUAGGCUUGAGUAUGGUAGAGGCAGACGGAAUUUCUAGUGUAGCGGUGAAAUGCGUAGAUAUUAGAAGGAACACCAGUGGCGAAAGCGGUUUGCUGGGCCAUCACUGACGCUGAGGCACGAAAGCGUGGGGAGCAAAUA